This 30-nucleotide non-coding RNA is filed under the name Rattus norvegicus (Norway rat). Lineage: Eukaryota; Metazoa; Chordata; Mammalia; Rodentia; Muridae. The record is from RNAcentral.
UNGUACAUGCUUUUCAGUGUGUUUCGAGGA